This 496-nucleotide ribosomal RNA is filed under the name uncultured bacterium. RNAcentral's name for it is "partial 16S ribosomal RNA". It matches the Rfam family "Bacterial small subunit ribosomal RNA", at positions 29 to 507 of the family's 1533-position model. The record is from RNAcentral.
AUGAACGCUGGCGGCGUGCCUAAUACAUGCAAGUCGAGCGAACAGACGAGGAGCUUGCUCCUCUGACGUUAGCGGCGGACGGGUGAGUAACCCGUGGAUAACCUACCUAUAAGACUGGGAUAACUUCGGGAAACCGGAGCUAAUACCGGAUAAUAUAUUGAACCGCAUGGUUCAAUAGUGAAAGUCGGUUUUGCUGUCACUUAUAGAUGGAUCCGCGCCGCAUUAGCUAGUUGGUAAGGUAACGGCUUACCAAGGCAACGAUGCGUAGCCGACCUGAGAGGGUGAUCGGCCACACUGGAACUGAGACACGGUCCAGACUCCUACGGGAGGCAGCAGUAGGGAAUCUUCCGCAAUGGGCGAAAGCUUGACGGAGCAACGCCGCGUGAGUGAUGAAGGUCUUCGGAUCGUAAAACUCUGUUAUUAGGGAAGAACAAAUGUGUAAGUAACUAUGCACGUCUUGACGGUACCUAAUCAGAAAGCCACGGCUAACUACGUG